RNAcentral lists this ribosomal RNA (1240 nucleotides) under Mycobacterium tuberculosis. Its description in RNAcentral is "bacterial LSU rRNA". It matches the Rfam family "Bacterial large subunit ribosomal RNA", at positions 1707 to 2925 of the family's 2925-position model. The record is from RNAcentral. Lineage: Bacteria; Bacillati; Actinomycetota; Actinomycetes; Mycobacteriales; Mycobacteriaceae.
AAGGAACUCGGCAAAAUGCCCCCGUAACUUCGGGAGAAGGGGGACCGGAAUAUCGUGAACACCCUUGCGGUGGGAGCGGGAUCCGGUCGCAGAAACCAGUGAGGAGCGACUGUUUACUAAAAACACAGGUCCGUGCGAAGUCGCAAGACGAUGUAUACGGACUGACGCCUGCCCGGUGCUGGAAGGUUAAGAGGACCCGUUAACCCGCAAGGGUGAAGCGGAGAAUUUAAGCCCCAGUAAACGGCGGUGGUAACUAUAACCAUCCUAAGGUAGCGAAAUUCCUUGUCGGGUAAGUUCCGACCUGCACGAAUGGCGUAACGACUUCUCAACUGUCUCAACCAUAGACUCGGCGAAAUUGCACUACGAGUAAAGAUGCUCGUUACGCGCGGCAGGACGAAAAGACCCCGGGACCUUCACUACAACUUGGUAUUGAUGUUCGGUACGGUUUGUGUAGGAUAGGUGGGAGACUGUGAAACCUCGACGCCAGUUGGGGCGGAGUCGUUGUUGAAAUACCACUCUGAUCGUAUUGGGCAUCUAACCUCGAACCCUGAAUCGGGUUUAGGGACAGUGCCUGGCGGGUAGUUUAACUGGGGCGGUUGCCUCCUAAAAUGUAACGGAGGCGCCCAAAGGUUCCCUCAACCUGGACGGCAAUCAGGUGGCGAGUGUAAAUGCACAAGGGAGCUUGACUGCGAGACUUACAAGUCAAGCAGGGACGAAAGUCGGGAUUAGUGAUCCGGCACCCCCGAGUGGAAGGGGUGUCGCUCAACGGAUAAAAGGUACCCCGGGGAUAACAGGCUGAUCUUCCCCAAGAGUCCAUAUCGACGGGAUGGUUUGGCACCUCGAUGUCGGCUCGUCGCAUCCUGGGGCUGGAGCAGGUCCCAAGGGUUGGGCUGUUCGCCCAUUAAAGCGGCACGCGAGCUGGGUUUAGAACGUCGUGAGACAGUUCGGUCUCUAUCCGCCGCGCGCGUCAGAAACUUGAGGAAACCUGUCCCUAGUACGAGAGGACCGGGACGGACGAACCUCUGGUGCACCAGUUGUCCCGCCAGGGGCACCGCUGGAUAGCCACGUUCGGUCAGGAUAACCGCUGAAAGCAUCUAAGCGGGAAACCUUCUCCAAGAUCAGGUUUCUCACCCACUUGGUGGGAUAAGGCCCCCCGCAGAACACGGGUUCAAUAGGUCAGACCUGGAAGCUCAGUAAUGGGUGUAGGGAACUGGUGCUAACCGGCCGAAAACUUACAACA